UACGUAGGGGGCGAGCGUUGUCCGAAGUUACUGGGCGUAAAGCGCGCGUAGGCGGGUUGGCAAGUCUGCUGUGAAAGCCCGGGGCUUAACUCCGGAGGGUCGGUGGAUACUGCCAGUCUUGAAGGUGCUAGGGAGAGAUGGAAUUACCGGUGUAGCGGUGAAAUGCGUAGAUAUCGAUAGGAACACCAGUGGCGAAGACGGUCUCUUGGGGCAUUCUUGACGCUGAGGCGCGAAAGCUGGGGGAGCGAACGGG
RNAcentral lists this ribosomal RNA (253 nucleotides) under uncultured bacterium. Its description in RNAcentral is "partial 16S ribosomal RNA". It matches the Rfam family "Bacterial small subunit ribosomal RNA", at positions 524 to 776 of the family's 1533-position model. The record is from RNAcentral.